Molecule: ribosomal RNA, 112 nt
Filed under: Caerostris extrusa
Lineage: Eukaryota; Metazoa; Arthropoda; Arachnida; Araneae; Araneidae
Source: RNAcentral
AACGGCCAUACCAUGCUGAAUAUACCGGUUCUCGUUAGAUCACCGAAGUCAAGCAUCAUUGGGCGCGGUCAGUACUUGGGUGGGUGACCGCCUGGGAACACCGCGUGUCGUU